UUAAUUGAAGCCAAAAAGAGGCAUAUUAAUGUUAAUAAUAAAACUGAAUAAUUUUUCCAAUUAAA
This 65-nucleotide transfer RNA is filed under the name Hymenoptera sp. 4 GYN-2021. Its description in RNAcentral is "tRNA-Asn". Lineage: Eukaryota; Metazoa; Arthropoda; Insecta; Hymenoptera. The record is from RNAcentral.